Lonchura striata (white-rumped munia) is the source of this 1096-nucleotide non-coding RNA. NCBI's taxonomy places the organism in Eukaryota, Metazoa, Chordata, Aves, Passeriformes, Estrildidae. The record is from RefSeq and is a predicted model, not a curated record.
CGACGGCUUCGGCCUCGCCGCCGCCCCGGCUCCCCCGCGCCCGGCGCAGGGCGUCCCGUGCCGGGGGCGGGCGAGGCUGCCGAGAGCGCUCGGCCUCUGCGCCCCCGGCAGCGCAGCAGCCAGGCAGAACUGAGAUCUGAGACAGAGACAUCUUCAAAAGAGGAAUUUCAGAAGUCUGCUCUGCAGCCGGGAUGCUGACAAUGUUCAGAGUUGAUGCUGUGGAAGAUGAUCAAUGUAGGCCAAGCCCAGAGAGAUUCCACGCUCCACUCAUGGCAAACACCUCUCUGGAGCAGCUCGGAUACCUUGUGCUGCAAUAGGUGAAGAUGGCUAAUUACAAACCACACAGACAGACAGUGAAGACUGCACACUCCACCGAGAGACCAAGAUACAGGCUACAGUUUUUCAAAAGGAGGAAGAAGAUAAAGCUUCUUCUUCUUCAUAAGAAGAAAAUGUUAUAAAAAUCAGUCAUAGAUUCAGCGUGUGGAGCAAUGGCCUCCAUUAAUCCCUCUCCUGCAUCCUUGUGCUGUAGCCGUGGAACCUCAUCCAUUACUGCCAUGCUGUGGGUCCACGUUAGUCCCUCAGCUCAGGGUGCUGGUUGGAGGGAGCUGGAUGCUGCAGAAAGCAAACAUAUCCUGGAGACCUGCCUAUGAAACACAGGACCUAGCACAGGCUGAGAGAGAAAACUGGUUCCCUUUGGAUUGUGCAUACUUCUGAGGGGAAUGAAUUUGGUACAGAGGACUAAUUGGAUGAGACACUGGUAAGACUUCAACGUUGUGAGUAGAAACAAAAAUCUCAGUGGAACAGUACAAUAAUUAUUUAAACUUUUUAAAUUAUAAUUUUUAAUGAAGAAAAAUAGAACCCUUCAGCCAAAGGAAAUUUUACAGCAGUGAUUGCUCUGACACGAGCAGCAGACAAUAAGGGAGGUGCCAGCCCAGGAAAAUGUUUGUGGAGCCAUUGACACGCAUGGGAAGAUAAAAACUAAAAAUCCAAGUGAACUCGCUGGCAUAAUAGUAGACAAUAUUGCAGCUGAUGACAAUAAAGCUCCCACUAAUACUUCAGUAGGAAAAGGUGCCAAUAAAGAGCUUAUUGAAAAGCA